RNAcentral lists this ribosomal RNA (980 nucleotides) under Copepoda environmental sample. Its description in RNAcentral is "SSU rRNA". It matches the Rfam family "Eukaryotic small subunit ribosomal RNA", at positions 315 to 1295 of the family's 1831-position model. Lineage: Eukaryota; Metazoa; Arthropoda; Copepoda. The record is from RNAcentral.
UCAACUGUCGACUGUGGCAUAGACGCCCACAGUGGUUUUGACGGGUAACGGGGAAUCAGGGUUCGAUUCCGGAGAGGGAGCCUUAAAAACGGCUACCACAUCUAAGGAAGGCAGCAGGCACGCAAAUUACCCAAUGAUCGAAGAUCGAGGUAGUGACGAAAAAUAACGAUCCAGGACUCAUCCGAGGCCCUGGAAUCGGAAUGAGUACACUUUAAAACCGUCCCCGAGGAUCUAUUGGAGGGCAAGUCUGGUGCCAGCAGCCGCGGUAAUUCCAGCUCCAAUAGCGUAUAUUAAAGUUGUUGUGGUUAAAAAGCUCGUAGUUGGAUCUCGGCGGACUGAGGGCGGUUUGCUUGCUAGUAUUACUGCCCUAUAGUCCGUAGUUUUGCCAGAGGUUUCGGGGUGCUCUUAAUCGAGUAUCCCAGGAUGCUGGCAGAUUUACUUUGAAAAAAUUAGAGUGCUCAAAGCAGGCUAUUACGCCUGAAUAUUCGUGCAUGGAAUAAUAGAAUAGGAAGUCGUUUCUAUUUUGUUGAUUUUCGGAAAUCGACUUAAUGAUUAAUAGGGACAGUCGGGGGCAUUUGUAUUCAAACGACAGAGGUGAAAUUCUUGGACCGUUUGAAGACAAACUACUGCGAAAGCAUUUGCCAAGAAUGUUUUCAUUAAUCAAGAACGAAAGUUAAAGGUUCGAAGGCGAUUAGAUACCGCCCUAGUUUUAACCAUAAACGAUGCCAGCUAGCGAUCUGCGGACGUUUUUUUUGUAGACUCCGCAGGAAGCUUCCGGGAAACCAAAGCAUUUGGGUUCCAGGGGAAGUAUGGUUGCAAAGCUGAAACUUAAAGGAAUUGACGGAAGGGCACCACCAGGAGUGGAGCCUGUGGCUUAAUUUGACUCAACACGGGAAAUCUCACCAGGCCCGGACACUGGAAGGAUUGACAGAUUGAUAGCUCUUUCUUGAUUCGGUGGGUGGUGGUGCAUGGCCGUUCUU